AGAGACUUAGGAUAAUUUAGACCAAGAGCCUUCAAAGCUCUCAGUAGAAGUGAAAAUCUUCUAGUCUCUG
RNAcentral lists this transfer RNA (70 nucleotides) under Danio albolineatus (pearl danio). RNAcentral's name for it is "tRNA-Trp". It matches the Rfam family "tRNA". From Rfam's summary of the family: Transfer RNA (tRNA) molecules are approximately 80 nucleotides in length. Their secondary structure includes four short double-helical elements and three loops (D, anti-codon, and T loops). The record is from RNAcentral. Lineage: Eukaryota; Metazoa; Chordata; Actinopteri; Cypriniformes; Danionidae. RNAcentral also lists the same sequence under 2 other names.